GUUGUCGUCAGCUCGUGUCGUGAGAUGUUGGGUUAAGUCCCGCAACGAGCGCAACCCUUAAGCUUAGUUGCCAUCAUUAAGUUGGGCACUCUAAGUUGACUGCCGGUGACAAACCGGAGGAAGGUGGGGAUGACGUCAAAUCAUCAUGCCCCUUAUGAUUUGGGCUACACACGUGCUACAAUGGACAAUACAAAGGGCAGCGAAACCGCGAGGUCAAGCAAAUCCCAUAAAGUUGUUCUCAGUUCGGAUUGUAGUCUGCAACUCGACUACAUGAAGCUGGAAUCGCUAGUAAUCGUAGAUCAGCAUGCUACGGUGAAUACGUUCCCGGGUCUUGUACACACCGCCCGUCACACCACGAGAGUUUGUAACACCCGAAGCCGGUGGAGUAACCUUUUAGGAGCUAGCCGUCGAAGGUGGGACAAAUGAUUGGGGUGAAGUCGUAACAAGGUAGCCGUAUCGGAAGGUGCGGCUGGAUCAC
RNAcentral lists this ribosomal RNA (478 nucleotides) under Staphylococcus aureus. RNAcentral describes it as "bacterial SSU rRNA". It matches the Rfam family "Bacterial small subunit ribosomal RNA", at positions 1048 to 1526 of the family's 1533-position model. The record is from RNAcentral. Lineage: Bacteria; Bacillati; Bacillota; Bacilli; Caryophanales; Staphylococcaceae.